GUAGGUGAACCUGCGGAAGGAUCAUUGCCACACACGAUCCAAGAUCGACACUUUAUUGUGAACUGUUAAAUGUUUUGAUUGGUAUUUGUUGUGUUUGGAGGACGUUUUACCGUCAUUCAGCACAAUGAAAAUCAAUUCUAAAUUUUACACCAAUAAUACCAAACAUGAAUUAUACAUUGGAACAUAACUGUUAUACCAAGUUCGUCUUGAUAUAACGCUAGAUUAUUAAUUGUAAAAACAACUUUUAACAACGGAUAUCUAGGUUCUU
RNAcentral lists this unclassified non-coding RNA (268 nucleotides) under rhizosphere metagenome. RNAcentral describes it as "partial ribosomal RNA internal transcribed spacer region". The record is from RNAcentral.